ACACGCUGGCGGCGUGCCUAAUACAUGCAAGUCGAACGGUCUUUUCUAUGGAAGCUUGCUUCCACUGAGAAGAUAGUGGCGGACGGGUGAGUAACACGUGGGUAACCUGCCCAUAAGAGGGGGAUAACAUCCGGAAACGGGUGCUAAUACCGCAUAGUUUUCUUGAUCGCAUGAUUGAGAAAGGAAAGACGGCCUUUGUGCUGUCGCUUAUGGAUGGACCCGCGGCGUAUUAGUUAGUUGGUGAGGUAAUGGCUCACCAAGACGAUGAUACGUAGCCGACCUGAGAGGGUGAUCGGCCACAUUGGGACUGAGACACGGCCCAAACUCCUACGGGAGGCAGCAGUAGGGAAUCUUCCGCAAUGGACGAAAGUCUGACGGAGCAACGCCGCGUGAGUGAAGAAGGUUUUCGGAUCGUAAAACUCUGUUGUCAGAGAAGAACAAGUUGGAGAGUAACUGCUCCAGCCUUGACGGUAUCUGACCAGAAAGCCACGGCUAACUACGUG
RNAcentral lists this ribosomal RNA (503 nucleotides) under uncultured bacterium. RNAcentral describes it as "bacterial SSU rRNA". It matches the Rfam family "Bacterial small subunit ribosomal RNA", at positions 33 to 507 of the family's 1533-position model. The record is from RNAcentral.